AUUGUUAAGCCAUGAGAGUGACAGAUGAGGAAGUUUCACUGUUUCCCUGAGGAACUAGAAUGCACUGUACCUCUUUAGUCUAUCUGACCUUGCCAGCAUCCUCCUGGGAUCCUCCCUGUCCCAAAAUAGCCAUCUACUGGCUGAGAUCUGGCUGCAUCCUGCUUCUGGGCUGCAUGCGCUGUUUGCCAAGGGAGUGAUGGGCUUGCAGGCCUGAGAAGGAUGCCAAAGGUCAACCCUCAGUUAGGAGGGUCAUGGCUGCCAGAAGUUCAGAGGAAUAGGUGUGGGCCAUUUGCACAGCAUAUGGCCUGGUGGGAUAGGAGAAUGGUCUUGGGAACAGAUAUACAUACCAUGAGACUUCCUAGGCCACUUGAGAAAAAUACAAAGACCAAGGAAACUUUCGCAUUAUCUGUCCCUUUUCUUAUUAACAAAUGAGGAGCAGGACAUUAUAGUCUAGCCAGCAAGGAAACAGCUACUUCAGGCCCGCCACGCUGGGGCUGGGUGGGGCUGGCCUGUGUCAAGUCCAGGGUGGGGCAGGCAGUGUGAAGGAUGACACGUUUUUCACCCAGAGGGAAGAAUGGC
RNAcentral lists this long non-coding RNA (579 nucleotides) under Pan troglodytes (chimpanzee). Its description in RNAcentral is "long non-coding RNA NONPTRT001781". The record is from RNAcentral. Lineage: Eukaryota; Metazoa; Chordata; Mammalia; Primates; Hominidae.